RNAcentral lists this ribosomal RNA (460 nucleotides) under uncultured bacterium. RNAcentral's name for it is "partial 16S ribosomal RNA". It matches the Rfam family "Bacterial small subunit ribosomal RNA", at positions 338 to 795 of the family's 1533-position model. The record is from RNAcentral.
CCUACGGGAGGCAGCAGUGAGGAAUAUUGGUCAAUGGACGAGAGGCUGAACCAGCCAAGUAGCGUGAAGGAUGACUGCCCUAUGGGUUGUAAACUUCUUUUAUAAAGGAAUAAAACGAGGCACGUGUGCCUUUUUGCGUGUACUUUAUGAAUAAGCAUCGGCUAACUCCGUGCCAGCAGCCGCGGUAAUACGGAGGAUCCGAGCGUUAUCCGGAUUUAUUGGGUUUAAAGGGGGCGUAGAUGGUAUGUUAAGUCAGUCGUGAAAGUUUGCGGCUCAACCGUAAAAUUGCAGUUGAUACUGGCAGUCUUGAGUGCAGUUGAGGUAGGCGGAAUGCGUGGUGUAGCGGUGAAAUGCAUAGAUAUCACGCAGAACCCCGAUUGCGAAGGCAGCUUACCAGACUGUGACUGACAUUCAUGCUCGAAAGUGUGGGUAUCAAACAGGAUUAGAUACCCUUGUAGUC